AUAGAAACAGCUGAAUUUGUAACCUCGUUCCUCUAUGCUUUAUAGUCUUUACGACGGAGCCGAAGCCAAUAAGUGUGUUUGUGGAUCCAGCCUUAUGCUUUGACUCAAAUUUUGUAGGCUUACAGCAUUUCUACAGUAUAGUUGACAACUCAAAAAAAGGUAAACUCCUUUUAAAAUUUUUACAAAAUCACAUUCUUCUGUAGUUUCUUUUUUAUUUUCAUAUAUAUAUAUAUGUAUAUACCAAAACAAAGAAUGAAAGAAAUGCCCCAAGCCAAACGGAUGGCGGAGGCUAUUUCAGUCAUUUCAAUGUACUAUUAAGUCUCUACCCUUCUUAAAACGAAAAUCCACUUGUCUGUGUAACAGAUAACCGUUGGCAAUUCAAAUUUCAAAACCCUCGAUCUCCUACCUUCAACGUUAUACGCUGGAAUAGAAUCCUGAAACACAUACAACUACACAAAUCGCAAAAGGAAAAUGGAAA
This 478-nucleotide long non-coding RNA is filed under the name Carica papaya (papaya). RNAcentral's name for it is "long non-coding RNA (CPAP_LNC008403)". Lineage: Eukaryota; Viridiplantae; Streptophyta; Magnoliopsida; Brassicales; Caricaceae. The record is from RNAcentral.